UACCUUUGUUGAGUAGGGGGUGCGGUGGGUCACAAUUAAAUGGGAGUCCGAAACUGGGCUUAUUCUUAGUUGAUGCUGUUAUCGAAAACGACCAUUCCACAAAUCAGUAGAGAGCGAAAAGAAUGCGUCAGCUUUUCAAGGUGAGACUGGCAAUGUGACAGCUACUGCCUGCCCUUGGGGAGUGGGCACUAUCCAGGGAAAGGGAAAAAGCCUGGAAGCAUGAAGAAACUACAUAAAAUACAGUCUAUGGAUCAAAGGCUUCAGUUCCAGUGCUAUGCAGAUACCGCCCUCAAAUCGGGGGAUGGUAACAUCUGUCUCAAGAUCGAAUACAGUCACGAUAAACCGUAUGCACUUGUUCGGAAAACACGUGACAAUUCAACGCUGGAGCCCUUGCCAGCUCAAGAAGAAGCCUGGAAAAGACAUC
Pollicipes pollicipes is the source of this 424-nucleotide long non-coding RNA. RefSeq lists it as uncharacterized. The record is from RefSeq and is a predicted model, not a curated record. Lineage: Eukaryota; Metazoa; Arthropoda; Thecostraca; Pollicipedomorpha; Pollicipedidae. The transcript has 3 exons.